Non-coding RNA from Arachis ipaensis, 952 nucleotides. Lineage: Eukaryota; Viridiplantae; Streptophyta; Magnoliopsida; Fabales; Fabaceae. The record is from RefSeq and is a predicted model, not a curated record.
AACUUGAGAAGUGGGGAAAUAAGAAAAGAAAGGGAAAAUAAGGAAGGCAGGGGGGAACUUGAGAAGUGGGGAACUGAGAAAGAAAGAAAGGAUAAGCGAGUGACGAGAGAAAGAGAAGCGGAGAGGGAGAAGAAGAAGAAAAGUGAGUUGAGAGGAAGAAGCUGCCGCCACUGCGGUCCGCGUUCACGUCGUCGUCGUAGCGCCGCCAUCCUUGCGCCAGUCGCUGCCGCUGUCGGCGAUGAAGCCCGUCGCCGCCAUUCGCGCCUCUAUCGCCGCCAGAACUACACGCCGUCGCUGGAGUCUGAACGCCGCUGCAACCACCACGUGUUAUCAUCUACAGAUCCGCCGCCGUUUGAGUCGCGAACAGGGGAACACGCGUGAAGGAAACUGUCGCGGAGCUGUCGUCGCCGCCGCGUUGAUGGGCUCGCCGUCGUUCUGCUCGCGUGGCUGCUGCAUUGCCGGAGCUCCUCGUCGCUGCUGGCGCCGGAAAGUGCCUUUCAAGCCUGUAUCUGUUGGGAGGAGUCCGAGCAAGAAAAGGAAAAAGGUGGCGAUGGAUACCUCUACUGCUGCUGCUGUUACUAUCGGUGUUCCGGAGCUUGCAGUUACUGCCGUGUUUGGGAGAUGAACCUGGUUGUGUCCUGGCUGCUAAUUGAUUGUAGAGAGAGACGUUGUAGCCACUACUUUUCAUCUUGAGUCACUAUUGUCAUAUCUCGGCGCUGCCGCCCUUGUUUGGAACUACUGAAUGUUGUUGUCUCCGCCACUGUCGAUUUAUCUAUUGCAAAUUCAUAAUUGAUAAUGGAGCUGCUAAGAUCGCUGCUGCUGCCAUGAACUGGGGAUAAAGGGGAUUAUUGAGCUAAAUUGUGCGAUUGAGACAUCGAGCUUUACCUUUUCAGGAACCGGAUGAAGAAGCAUUAAGAAGAGUUAUACUGUGUUUGGUUUAUAAGAUGUUGUA